GUAGGUGGCAAGCGUUGUCCGGAAUUAUUGGGCGUAAAGCGCGCGCAGGCGGUUCUUUAAGUCUGAUGUGAAAGCCCACGGCUCAACCGUGGAGGGUCAUUGGAAACUGGAGAACUUGAGUACAGAAGAGGAAAGCGGAACUCCACGUGUAGCGGUGAAAUGCGUAGAGAUGUGGAGGAACACCAGUGGCGAAGGCGGCUUUCUGGUCUGUAACUGACGCUGAGGCGCGAAAGCGUGGGGAGCAAACAGGACUAGAUACCCUGGUAGUCCACGCCGUAAACGAUGAGUGCUAAGUGUUAGGGGGGUUUCCGCCCCCCUUAGUGCUGCAGCUAACGCAUUAAGCACUCCGCCUGGGAGUACGGCCGCAAGGCUG
Molecule: ribosomal RNA, 373 nt
Filed under: uncultured organism
Description: partial 16S ribosomal RNA
Rfam family: Bacterial small subunit ribosomal RNA
Source: RNAcentral